GUGGAUUAGAUACCCGGGUAGUCCACGCAGUAAACGAUGAAUACUAACUGUAUGCGAUAUACUGUAUGCGGUACAGCGAAAGCGUUAAGUAUUCCACCUGGGGAGUACGUUCGCAAGAAUGAAACUCAAAGGAAUUGACGGGGGCCCGCACAAGCGGAGGAACAUGUGGUUUAAUUCGAUGAUACGCGAGGAACCUUACCCGGGCUUGAAAUGCAGAAGACCGACGAAGAAAUUCGUUUUCCAGCAAUGGCUUCUGUGUAGGUGCUGCAUGGUCGUCGACAACU
RNAcentral lists this ribosomal RNA (284 nucleotides) under uncultured bacterium. RNAcentral's name for it is "partial 16S ribosomal RNA". It matches the Rfam family "Bacterial small subunit ribosomal RNA", at positions 773 to 1060 of the family's 1533-position model. The record is from RNAcentral.